Molecule: ribosomal RNA, 673 nt
Filed under: uncultured Bacillus sp.
Lineage: Bacteria; Bacillati; Bacillota; Bacilli; Caryophanales; Bacillaceae
Description: bacterial SSU rRNA
Rfam family: Bacterial small subunit ribosomal RNA
Source: RNAcentral
CGAUGAGUGCUUAAGUGUUAGAGGGUUUCNNGCCCUNNAGUGCUGCAGCUAACGCANUAAGCACUCCGCNUGGGGAGUACGGCCGCAAGGCUGAAACUCAAAGGAAUUGACGGGGGCCCGCACAAGCGGUGGAGCAUGUGGUUUAAUUCGAAGCNACGCGAAGAACCUUACCAGGUCUUGACAUCCUCUGACAACCCUAGAGAUAGGGCUUUCCCCUUCGGGGGACAGAGUGACAGGUGGUGCAUGGUUGUCGUCAGCUCGUGUCGUGAGAUGUUGGGUUAAGUCCCGCAACGAGCGCAACCCUUGAUCUUAGUUGCCAGCAUUCAGUUGGGCACUCUAAGGUGACUGCCGGUGACAAACCGGAGGAAGGUGGGGAUGACGUCAAAUCAUCAUGCCCCUUAUGACCUGGGCUACACACGUGCUACAAUGGAUGGUACAAAGAGCCCGCAAACCCGCGAGGGUAAGCUAAUCUCAUAAAGCCAUUCUCAGUUCGGAUUGCAGGCUGCAACUCGCCUGCAUGAAGCCGGAAUCGCUAGUAAUCGCGGAUCAGCAUGCCGCGGUGAAUACGUUCCCGGGCCUUGUACACACCGCCCGUCACACCACGAGAGUUUGUAACACCCGAAGUCGGUGAGGGUAACCAAUUUUGGUAGCCAGCCGCCUCAAGGUGGGCACA